CGUAUGUCGCAAGCGUUAUCCGGAUUUAUUGGGCGUAAAGCGCGUCUAGGCGGCUUAGUAAGUCUGAUGUGAAAUGCGGGGCUCAACCCCGUAUUGCGUUGGAAACUGCUAAACUAGAGUACUGGAGAGGUAGGCGGAACUACAAGUGUAGAGGUGAAAUUCGUAGAUAUUUGUAGGAAUGCCGAUGGGGAAGCCAGCCUACUGGACAGAUACUGACGCUAAAGCGCGAAAGCGUGGGUAGCAAACAGGAUU
This 252-nucleotide ribosomal RNA is filed under the name uncultured bacterium. RNAcentral's name for it is "partial 16S ribosomal RNA". It matches the Rfam family "Bacterial small subunit ribosomal RNA", at positions 526 to 779 of the family's 1533-position model. The record is from RNAcentral.